CGCAUCACUGGUGUUCGGGUUGUCAUGCCAAUGGCACUGCCCGGUAGCUAAAUGCGGAAGAGAUAAGUGCUGAAAGCAUCUAAGCACGAAACUUGCCCCGAGAUGAGUUCUCCCUGACCCUUUAAGGGUCCUGAAGGAACGUUGAAGACGACGACGUUGAUAGGCCGGGUGUGUAAGCGCAGCGAUGCGUUGAGCUAACCGGUACUAAUGAACCGUGAGGCUUAACCUUACAACGCCGAAGGUGUUU
Molecule: ribosomal RNA, 247 nt
Filed under: Shigella sonnei
Lineage: Bacteria; Pseudomonadati; Pseudomonadota; Gammaproteobacteria; Enterobacterales; Enterobacteriaceae
Description: partial 23S ribosomal RNA
Rfam family: Bacterial large subunit ribosomal RNA
Source: RNAcentral